Molecule: ribosomal RNA, 699 nt
Filed under: uncultured Lachnospiraceae bacterium
Lineage: Bacteria; Bacillati; Bacillota; Clostridia; Lachnospirales; Lachnospiraceae
Description: bacterial SSU rRNA
Rfam family: Bacterial small subunit ribosomal RNA
Source: RNAcentral
GAUGAACGCUGGCGGCGUGCUUAACACAUGCAAGUCGAACGAAGCGAUGGAGAACGGAGAUUUCGGUUGAAGUUUUCUAUUGACUGAGUGGCGGACGGGUGAGUAACGCGUGGGUAACCUGCCCUAUACAGGGGGAUAACAGUUAGAAAUGACUGCUAAUACCGCAUAAGCGCACAGCUUCGCAUGAAGCGGUGUGAAAAACUGAGGUGGUAUAGGAUGGACCCGCGUUGGAUUAGCUAGUUGGUGAGGUAACGGCCCACCAAGGCGACGAUCCAUAGCCGGCCUGAGAGGGUGAACGGCCACAUUGGGACUGAGACACGGCCCAAACUCCUACGGGAGGCAGCAGUGGGGAAUAUUGCACAAUGGGGGAAACCCUGAUGCAGCGACGCCGCGUGAAGGAAGAAGUAUCUCGGUAUGUAAACUUCUAUCAGCAGGGAAGAAAGUGACGGUACCUGACUAAGAAGCCCCGGCUAAUUACGUGCCAGCAGCCGCGGUAAUACGUAAGGGGCAAGCGUUAUCCGGAUUUACUGGGUGUAAAGGGAGCGUAGACGGUUUGGCAAGUCUGAUGUGAAAGGCAUAGGCUCAACCUGUGGACUGCAUUGGAAACUGUCAGACUUGAGUGCCGGAGAGGCAAGCGGAAUUCCUAGUGUAGCGGUGAAAUGCGUAGAUAUUAGGAGGAACACCAGUGGCGAAGGCGGC